UAGAGAUACGGUGUCCGAAAGGGUCCAGAACAGGUGGUGCAUGGCUGUCGUCAGCUCGUGUCGUGAGAUGUUGGGUUAAGUCCCGCAACGAGCGCAACCCUUGUCCUAUGUUGCCAGCACGUAAUGGUGGGGACUCGUAGGAGACUGCCGGGGUCAACUCGGAGGAAGGUGGGGACGACGUCAAGUCAUCAUGCCCCUUAUGUCCAGGGCUGCAAACAUGCUACAAUGGCUGGUACAAAGGGCUGCUAUACCGCGAGGUGGAGCGAAUCCCAAAAAGCCAGUCUCAGUUCGGAUUGGAGUCUGCAACUCGACUCCAUGAAGUCGGAGUCGCUAGUAAUCCCGGAUCAGCAACGCCGGGGUGAAUACGUUCCCGGGCCUUGUACACACCGCCCGUCACACCACGAAAGUCGGCAACACCCGAAGCCAGUGGCCUAACCCUUUGGGAAGGAGCUGUCGAAGGUGGGGUUGGCGAUUGGGGUGAAGUCGUAACAAGGUAGCCGUACCGGAAGGUGCGGCU
Molecule: ribosomal RNA, 517 nt
Filed under: uncultured bacterium
Lineage: Bacteria
Description: bacterial SSU rRNA
Rfam family: Bacterial small subunit ribosomal RNA
Source: RNAcentral